GACGCCUGCUACUAGUCUGUCCUCUGUCAUCUGGAACCGGACGCUUCCUGUCCUGACUCUGCCCCGGCACCGUCGCCCGCUCACGGACUGAUACAGCUCCUCGGUCAACCCACAACACCUGCUCAAUCGACGCGUCCAAGGUCCGCAACCUCUGUGCCUGAACUAAAACGAAGAUCUCUGGCCUCAAGCCCCUCUCAGGGUGGCGCAACACGAACUGUAUGAGCUUUCAGAGAUCCAGUAAAAAUGGGAAUAUAAAGUUCAGUGCAGAAUAGAUGUAGAAAUCAAUGUGAAAGAAAGGCGAGAAAGAAGAGACUAUUAAGGUGCAAGCUCGGGUUAAAUCUUCUCGUAUGUAUAU
Molecule: long non-coding RNA, 355 nt
Filed under: Ananas comosus (pineapple)
Lineage: Eukaryota; Viridiplantae; Streptophyta; Magnoliopsida; Poales; Bromeliaceae
Description: long non-coding RNA (ACOM_LNC035681)
Source: RNAcentral